This 431-nucleotide ribosomal RNA is filed under the name uncultured bacterium. Its description in RNAcentral is "bacterial SSU rRNA". It matches the Rfam family "Bacterial small subunit ribosomal RNA", at positions 355 to 796 of the family's 1533-position model. The record is from RNAcentral.
UCGAGGAUCUUUGGCAAUGGGCGCAAGCCUGACCAAGCGACGCCGCGUGUGCGAUGAAGGCCUUCGGGUUGUAAAGCACUGUCGAGGGGGAUCAAGGCGCAAGCUUGAGAGAUCCCUGGAGGAAGCACGGGCUAAGUUCGUGCCAGCAGCCGCGGUAAGACGAACCGUGCGAACGUUGUUCGGAAUCACUGGGCUUAAAGGGCGCGUAGGCGGCUCAUCAAGUCGGGGGUGAAAUACUUCAGCUUAACUGGAGAAGUGCCUUCGAUACUGGUGGGCUUGAGGGAGGUAGGGGUCUGUGGAACUUCUGGUGGAGCGGUGAAAUGCGUUGAUAUCAGAAGGAACGCCGGUGGCGAAAGCGACGGACUGGACCUCUUCUGACGCUGAGGCGCGAAAGCUAGGGGAGCAAACGGGAUUAGAUACCCCCGUAGUCC